GUUCUCCUGAUCUCCACAGCAGUCCCCAGGGUGAAUUAAGCCAGGAGCUGUUGCAGUUGUUGGCUUGGCUCUGCAAGUCCUACCACCAGGAGACUCAGAGAAACCACCCAGUCUUGAAAGCAGCCUGCCAGCUAUUCAAACUAUGUGGGGCUGAGACCACCAAAUACCCAGAUGGGACCAGACUCCUCUCUUCACCAUAGUUUCCAUGCAUGCGGACUUAAAAAAAUAUUUGGGGUCUGCAGGGGCCCCACUUUUAGUAUAUAGGAGCUUGCAGAUUUCCAGCUUUGCAGAUAUUUGAUGCUGGUCUUACAGAGAACAGUUUCCCCACAACCCCGGAUGUGCAUUUUUUAAAUUCAGACAGAGUGUAUUAGAUUCCUUUUCAGGUAAUAAUUUGUAUUUUUAAUUUAAUACUAACUUUUCUUCAUUAAAGAUUCACAUAGAUUGAGAUACCCAUUAAUUACUCUCCAUUAUUCAAUGCUGCCCCUUAAAUUUAAAGAAUAAACAUUCUAAAAAAGUCCAUAAUCAAAAGGCUAACCUAUACCCAGGGCAGCAUUCCUGUUGGAACACUUGUAAUUAAUAGCUGGAGCUCUUUGCAAAGCUGUUCAGUCUCAUUACUCUCUACGUAGUUGAAAAUAACAAAUGUUUCCAUAAUCUGUUCUGCCAUCUUGAUCUGUGUGUUGUGUCAUGCAUGCUCCUCAGUGAGACCUAGUGCAGCUGUUGGAGAUGGUAACGAUGAGGGAAUACGUUUGUGGACUUUAUAUAUCAUCCUUUGUAAUCCAAGAAGCCACAGCUGACUUUAUAGCAAGCCCUGACAUGAACAUCAUAUGCCUCUCUAUAAAGCAACAUGCAAAAUAAGGCUAGCUACAGCAAAGCAGGGGCACAACUGAAGAAUCUUGCCUUAGAACAAGAUUCCGUGAAACAGGGAAACUGAGCCCUAGGAAGCUAAUAUGAAACCUGGUAGCAGUCUGACAUGUUGGAAGAAACUGCACAUUCUCACAGCACUAGAAAUCUGUCUUAAAAUCAUGUGGGAAUGACAUGUAGUGAACACAGAAAAAAAUAAAAGGCUAGCAGAGGUCUGCAGAGAUCCACUUCCUUUUUUUCUUUACAGGAUCUCCACUCUCCAGGAUGGGGAGAAGGGAAGCUUUCUGGAAGUCAUGGGUAUCCAAUGCAAUCACAGACAAAGUCUUCCUACUUCUAGAAAUGCCCCUGAACUGGCGUUUGACUUCACUAAGUGAAGCAACGAUGCCAGGUACGAACGUCAUCUCUGGAACACCCUAGGCCAAUGUUGCCGAAUAACUUAACUGCCCACACAGUCACAUCUCAGUUCACAUUGUUGAGCUUACACAUGAUACAAAUCAACCUUGGAAGAUUUUAUGUUAGGAUGCUCCAAAGCCAUUUUUGUGAUAUGUAACAAGACCAUCUAUUAGACUGUGAGCCUACAGGCCG
Molecule: non-coding RNA, 1446 nt
Organism: Podarcis lilfordi (Lilford's wall lizard)
Lineage: Eukaryota; Metazoa; Chordata; Lepidosauria; Squamata; Lacertidae
Source: the annotation of a GenBank genome assembly